GACGAACGCUGGCGGCAUGCCUAACACAUGCAAGUCGAACGAAAAGUCCGGGACUUUUGGCGCACGGGGGCGUAAGGCGAGGGAAGCUUCACUUAGGUUCGGCAUAACUACCCGAAAGGGGUGCUAAUACCGGAUAGUGUCUUCGGACCAAAGAUAUAUCGCGCUUGGAUGGGCCCGCGUGGGAUUAGCUAGUUGGUAGGGUAAUAGCCUACCAAGGCGAGGAUCCAUAGCUGGGCUGUGAGGAGGGUCAGCCACACUAGGACGAAGACACGGCCGAGAAUCCUACGCGAGGGGGGAGUGGGGGAUAGAGGAAAAUGGGCGAAGGGCUGAUCCAGCAAUGCCGGGUAAGUGAUGAAGGCCGUAGGGAUGUAAAGCGCAUUUAACCGGGAUGAUAAUGACGGUACCGGGUGAAUAAGCACCGGCUAACUACGUG
Molecule: ribosomal RNA, 433 nt
Filed under: uncultured bacterium
Lineage: Bacteria
Description: partial 16S ribosomal RNA
Rfam family: Bacterial small subunit ribosomal RNA
Source: RNAcentral